AUUGAACGCUGGCGGCAUGCCUUACGCAUGCAAGUCGAACGGUAACAGGUCUUCGGAUGCUGACGAGUGGCGAACGGGUGAGUAAUACAUCGGAACGUGCCUAGUAGUGGGGGAUAACUACUCGAAAGAGUGGCUAAUACCGCAUGAGAUCUACGGAUGAAAGCAGGGGAUCGCAAGACCUUGUGCUACUAGAGCGGCCGAUGGCAGAUUAGGUAGUUGGUGGGAUAAAAGCUUACCAAGCCGACGAUCUGUAGCUGGUCUGAGAGGACGAUCAGCCACACUGGGACUGAGGCACGGCCCAGACUCCUACGGGAGGCAGCAGUGGGGAAUUUUGGACAAUGGGCGCAAGCCUGAUCCAGCAAUGCCGCGUGCAGGAUGAAGGCCUUCGGGUUGUAAACUGCUUUUGUACGGAACGAAAAGCCCCGGGUUAAUACCCUGGGGUCAUGACGGUACCGUAAGAAUAAGCACCGGCUAACUACGUGCCAGCAGCCGCCGUAA
Molecule: ribosomal RNA, 498 nt
Filed under: uncultured bacterium
Lineage: Bacteria
Description: partial 16S ribosomal RNA
Rfam family: Bacterial small subunit ribosomal RNA
Source: RNAcentral